Non-coding RNA from Plectropomus leopardus (leopard coralgrouper), 646 nucleotides. NCBI's taxonomy places the organism in Eukaryota, Metazoa, Chordata, Actinopteri, Perciformes, Serranidae. The record is from RefSeq and is a predicted model, not a curated record.
AAAGGUGAUACUACGACCAGAACGACUGACUGCAGACUUUCAACAAGUCAAUGGCACCCUGCUCAUGACGCUUCGCUGGAGGAUGUCCCAGCAUGCACUGGACCCAGCAGCUGUGGAGGGGUUCCAGUUCACCUGGACACUGCAAUCAGGUGUUACCAUGGAAACAGAGGGGCAAGAAGACACACUUAUCUCCCAGACACAGACAAUUGCACCGUCUCAGCGGUCGGUGUCAGUUCAGAGCCUUCAGGCCGACAGUGUUUACCAGCUGCAGCUCCAGGUGCUAACAACAGGAGGCAGCAACGGUGCAGCAGUCUCCAAGACCAUACAUACUCCAGCUCUCAACACCACACAUUGAUAGACCCAAACCCUGCAGUUGUCACCAUCUGCUGCACUAACGGUCAUCUUCACCAACAUCUACUUCUCCGCUGUCUUCCACAGUGCGACAUGCUUUAAUUGCAGUCUGAGUGCAGAAAACAUGCUGUAAAAUAAAGAAAGUUACUCUGUGUAGAUCAUUCUUUCAUCAUAACUGUUUGUCUUACUAUGACCCCCCUCCCCCCACUUUUCAAACAUCAGGAAGGUUGUGAGCCCGCUUUAAUGGAAAAUUAUCAUUAAUCAUUCAUCUAAUCGAUCAAUCUGUCAGGUGAUC